This 498-nucleotide ribosomal RNA is filed under the name uncultured bacterium. Its description in RNAcentral is "partial 16S ribosomal RNA". It matches the Rfam family "Bacterial small subunit ribosomal RNA", at positions 30 to 523 of the family's 1533-position model. The record is from RNAcentral.
AUUGAACGCUGGCGGCAUGCCUUACACAUGCAAGUCGAACGGUAACAGGUCUUCGGAUGCUGACGAGUGGCGAACGGGUGAGUAAUACAUCGGAACGUGCCUAGUAGUGGGGGAUAACUACUCGAAAGAGUGGCUAAUACCGCAUGAGAUCUACGGAUGAAAGCAGGGGAUCGCAAGACCUUGUGCUACUAGAGCGGCCGAUGGCAGAUUCGGUAGUUGGUGGGAUAAAAGCUUACCAAGCCGACGAUCUGUAGCUGGUCUGAGAGGACGAUCGGCCACACUGGGACUGAGACCCGGCCCAGACUCCUACGGGAGGCAGCAGUGGGGAAUUUUGGACAAUGGGCGCAAGCCUGAUCCAGCAAUGCCGCGUGCAGGAUGAAGGCCUUCGGGUUGUAAACUGCUUUUGUACGGAACGAAAAGCCCUGGGUUAAUACCCUGGGGUCAUGACGGUACCGUAAGAAUAAGCACCGGCUAACUACGUGCCAGCCGCCGCCGUAA